This 928-nucleotide long non-coding RNA is filed under the name Pongo abelii (Sumatran orangutan). RNAcentral describes it as "lincRNA". The record is from RNAcentral. Lineage: Eukaryota; Metazoa; Chordata; Mammalia; Primates; Hominidae.
AUCUAUUUGGGGCUGAGGAAAAUUCAGGUGGAAGACAAUUAAAUAACUAACCACCUCCGCAAGGGGCAGAACUCAAACUCAGGUCUCCCUCCCACGCCCUGGGCUCCAGGGACACCCUUGGGUGUCGUUGUUGAAACAGGACGAGGCGUGACGCCGGGUCUGCUUUGUUUGGCGUGGGUUCUCACUAUGUUGCUUAAGCUGGUCUAGAACUCAAGCCAGUCUCUCACUUCAGCCUCUUGAGUCGUUGGAAUUACAGGAGCCACCAUGUCCAACUAGACAAGAUCUUGUUGCCCAGGCUGGUCUCAAACUUCUGAGUUCAAAUGAUACUCCCACCUCGGCCUCCUAAAGUGUUGGGAUUGCAGACCUGAGCCACUGUGCCUGGCUGAAUUCUAUUUCUAUUGGAUUGGUUGUAAAGAAGUGCAUUGUAGCCUGCAAAGAAGCAGGGCCAGUGGGGUGGAGAGGGCAGAAGUGCUACAGAGGCCCCUGCUCUCCACUGCCCUGACUGCUACUGUGCUGGAUGCUGUGUGAACCACAGCUGCAUCUGGAGGCCUUGGGCAGCACCUAACAGGAAGCCAGAGUAGGUCCUCCGAAGGUGUUUGUUCAAUGAACAUGUCAUCCUCCUCAACUUAAAGCCUUUAGCUUUUCCAAUUUGGAGGCACAAAUAAGUGAGAACUUGGGGAUCCACUGAGGUCUGAGGCAUGGUGGUACCAGAGGAGAUGAAGGGGCUUUCAGCAUGAAGCUGGUCCCCUGUUGACAGCACGCUGAUUUUCCCAUUGGGCUCUAUCAGCAUGUCCACUGUCAGGUUGGUGACAUUGUCUGCAGGUGGGAAUGCUUCGAUCACACCCCCUGGUGGGAAAAACAUGGAGUAGGUGAAAGGACACAUGCAUUUUGUUUGACUUGGGCUCAGAUUCUGCAUCUGCCACGUCUU